RNAcentral lists this small RNA (1443 nucleotides) under Pan troglodytes (chimpanzee). RNAcentral describes it as "retained intron". The record is from RNAcentral. Lineage: Eukaryota; Metazoa; Chordata; Mammalia; Primates; Hominidae.
CCCUCCAGCCCAGCUCGGGCUCCAGCUCCAGCGCCGGCGCUUCAGCUGCGACCGCGAGCCCUCUCAAGCAAGGCCUACCCUCUGAAGAGGUCCAAGCAACGGAAGUACUACUACGAAGCUGCCUUUCUGGCCAUCCUUGAGAAAAACAGACAGAUGGCCAAGGAGAGGGGCCUAAUAAGCCCCAGUGAUUUUGCCCAGCUGCAAAAAUACAUGGAAUACUCCACCAAAAAGGUCAGUGAUGUCCUAAAGCUCUUCGAGGAUGGCGAGAUGGCUAAAUAUGUCCAAGGAGAUGCCAUUGGGUACGAGGGAUUCCAGCAAUUCCUGAAAAUCUAUCUGGAAGUGGAUAAUGUUCCCAGACACCUAAGCCUGGCACUGUUUCAAUCCUUUGAGACUGGUCACUGCUUAAAUGAGACAAAUGUGACAAAAGAUGUGGUGUGUCUCAAUGAUGUUUCCUGCUACUUUUCCCUUCUGGAGGGUGGUCGGCCAGAAGACAAGUUAGAAUUCACCUUCAAGCUGUACGACACGGACAGAAAUGGGAUCCUGGACAGCUCAGAAGUGGACAAAAUUAUCCUACAGAUGAUGCGAGUGGCUGAAUACCUGGAUUGGGAUGUGUCUGAGCUGAGGCCGAUUCUUCAGGAGAUGAUGAAAGAGAUUGACUAUGAUGGCAGUGGCUCUGUCUCUCAAGCUGAGUGGGUCCGGGCUGGGGCCACCACCGUGCCACUGCUAGUGCUGCUGGGUCUGGAGAUGACUCUGAAGGACGAUGGACAGCACAUGUGGAGGCCCAAGAGGUUCCCCAGACCAGUCUACUGCAAUCUGUGCGAGUCAAGCAUUGGUCUUGGCAAACAGGGACUGAGCUGUAACCGUGAGUAAUGGGAGCUGGGAGGUAGGGGAAGAGGGUCAGCCCAGCUAUCUGUGGGAGCUUGACGCUGUAAACUUAGAAAGACCUAGGUUUGAAUCCUGGGCUCUGCCACUGACUAGUUAUGUGACCUUGGGAAAGCCACAUCACUUCUUUAAGCCUUAGUUUCCUCAACUGAAAAUGAGGUAAUUGUGAGCAUUAAAAAAGCUGGUGCAAGAAAAGUGCUUCAGAUGGUGCAUGCACAUACUAUAAGAUGCAAUAAAAAAUAUCUAUUAUGAUUACUGUUGCUGUUAGACCUGGGCCUCCCAAGCAUUAUCCAGCUCAGUUCCUGCCUGGCACAUGGAUGGUGUGGGGCAGGCAUGCAGUAGCAGCUGAUCUUUUAGGAGGAAGAGUAAGGAAAAGGCGUGGGUUUUGGAGGUGGGCACUUCACCCCGAACUUUUAUUCUGCUACACCCUCAAGCAAGGGAUCACAUAUCUGAUCCUGCCUCACCCUCAGGUAAGAAGGAAAUAGGGGGAGAGGCUCAGCUAAGCCUCCCAACUUCUUCCUUCUCCCUCAGUCUGUAAGUACACUGUUCACGACCAGUGUG